UGGGUGAGUACAGUGGCGUACGGGUGAGUAACACGUGGAUUAUCUACCUCUUAGUGGGGAAUAACCCUGGGAAACCGGGGCUAAUACCGCAUAAGCCUGGAAAGGGAAAGUCGUAAGACGCUGAGAGAGGAGUCCGCGGCCGAUUAGCUAGUUGGCAGGGUAACAGCCUACCAAGGCUUUGAUCGGUAGCCGGCCUGAGAGGGCACACGGCCACACUGGCACUGAAACACGGGCCAG
RNAcentral lists this ribosomal RNA (237 nucleotides) under uncultured bacterium. RNAcentral's name for it is "partial 16S ribosomal RNA". It matches the Rfam family "Bacterial small subunit ribosomal RNA", at positions 83 to 334 of the family's 1533-position model. The record is from RNAcentral.